AUACGGAGGGUGCAAGCGUUGUUCGGAAUUACUGGGCGUAAAGCGUUCGUAGGCGGUUAUUUAAGUUAGAUGUGAAAGCCCCGGGCUUAACCUGGGAACUGCAUUUAAAACUGGAUAACUAGAGUUUAGGAGAGGGAAGUGGAAUUUCAGGUGUAGCAGUGAAAUGCGUAGAGAUCUGAAGGAACACCAGUGGCGAAGGCGACUUCCUGGACUAGAACUGACGCUGAGGAACGAAAGCGUGGGUAGCAAACGGGAUUAGAUACCCGUGUAGUCC
Molecule: ribosomal RNA, 274 nt
Filed under: uncultured bacterium
Lineage: Bacteria
Description: partial 16S ribosomal RNA
Rfam family: Bacterial small subunit ribosomal RNA
Source: RNAcentral